CCUACGGGUGGCUGCAGUGGGGAAUAUUGCACAAUGGGCGCAAGCCUGAUGCAGCCAUGCCGCGUGUGUGAAGAAGGCCUUCGGGUUGUAAAGCACUUUCAGCGGGGAGGAAGGCGUUAAGGUUAAUAACCUUGGCGAUUGACGUUACCCGCAGAAGAAGCACCGGCUAACUCCGUGCCAGCAGCCGCGGUAAUACGGAGGGUGCAAGCGUUAAUCGGAAUUACUGGGCGUAAAGCGCACGCAGGCGGUCUGUCAAGUCGGAUGCGAAAUCCCCGGGCUCAACCUGGGAACUGCAUUCGAAACUGGCAGGCUAGAGUCUUGUAGAGGGGGGUAGAAUUCCAGGUGUAGCGGUGAAAUGCGUAGAGAUCUGGAGGAAUACCGGUGGCGAAGGCGGCCCCCUGGACAAAGACUGACGCUCAGGUGCGAAAGCGUGGGGAGCAAACAGGAUUAGAUACCCGGGUAGUC
This 465-nucleotide ribosomal RNA is filed under the name uncultured Klebsiella sp. RNAcentral's name for it is "bacterial SSU rRNA". It matches the Rfam family "Bacterial small subunit ribosomal RNA", at positions 338 to 795 of the family's 1533-position model. The record is from RNAcentral. Lineage: Bacteria; Pseudomonadati; Pseudomonadota; Gammaproteobacteria; Enterobacterales; Enterobacteriaceae.